This 242-nucleotide ribosomal RNA is filed under the name uncultured Actinomycetales bacterium. RNAcentral describes it as "partial 16S ribosomal RNA". It matches the Rfam family "Bacterial small subunit ribosomal RNA", at positions 89 to 334 of the family's 1533-position model. Lineage: Bacteria; Bacillati; Actinomycetota; Actinomycetes; Actinomycetales. The record is from RNAcentral.
ACUCGAGUGGCGAACGGGUGAGUAACGCGUGGGUGAUCUGCCUUGCACUCUGGGAUAAGCUUGGGAAACUGGGUCUAAUACCGGAUAGGAACCGUCUUUAGUGUGGUGGUUGGAAAGUUUUUUCGGUGCAAGAUGAGCUCGCGGCCUAUCAGCUUGUUGGUGGGGUAAUGGCCUACCAAGGCGUCGACGGGUAGCCGGCCUGAGAGGGUGUACGGCCACAUUGGGACUGAGACACGGCCCAG